Molecule: ribosomal RNA, 253 nt
Filed under: uncultured bacterium
Lineage: Bacteria
Description: partial 16S ribosomal RNA
Rfam family: Bacterial small subunit ribosomal RNA
Source: RNAcentral
UACAGAGGCCACAAGCGUUAGUCGGAAUCACUGGGCUUAAAGGGUGCGUAGGCGGGUCUGCAAGCGUCCUGUGAAAUACCUCGGCUCAACCGAGGAACUGCAGGGCGAACUGCGGAUCUUGAGGCAUGUAGGGGCUGCGAGAACAGUAGGUGGAGCGGUGAAAUGCGUAGAUAUCUACUGGAAUGCCGAUGGUGAAGACGCGCAGCUGGGCAUGUCCUGACGCUGAGGCACGAAAGCGUGGGGAGCAAACAGG